Molecule: long non-coding RNA, 1786 nt
Filed under: Bos indicus x Bos taurus (hybrid cattle)
Lineage: Eukaryota; Metazoa; Chordata; Mammalia; Artiodactyla; Bovidae
Description: lncRNA (ENSBIXG00005024016.1)
Source: RNAcentral
GUCCCACCCCUUUCUGUGCUCUCCGAUACCGAUACCCACGCUGGGAAAGACUGGGGGCUCACGGAGAAGCUGGCGAGGAGGAGGAGAUGGUUGGAUGGCAUCCCAGACUGGUACACAGACUCAGUGUGUGCACUGUACAACCUCUGUGUGUACAGGUUGGGUGUACACACAGAGAAGUACAUUUGAGUUCUGUUUGCCUGCUUCUUGCUUUCAUCCUGUCCUCCUCUGGGAUGGAAGAACGCUAAAACUUCCUCUGCAGAGCCUGCGGCCAAGACCAGCAGGGCGGCUCCUUCUGUGCGCUCGGCCGCUCCUGGGAGGAUACGCAUUCUCCUGCAGGACAAGGCCUUGACGUCGUCCUGGUUGGUGUCCAGCUGCCUGGAAUGAAGACACGCACGCUUGAUGAACAGUCCACUGAUCCGCUUCAUCUUGUUUCUGCUGUGGGUUAUCCGUACGAGUGACAUAGUGAUGGCACACGGGGCUGCCUCCUCUCCCGAGAACUCGUAUUUAUGGUGUCAGCGCUGGAUGGGAUGCGGGCUCUCUUCUCUGGAAGACGGGCAGGAGGCAGAGGAGCUGCAAGUGUGGAAUUCUGUACAGUUGAGGCCGAAGCCAUCUAACUGCAGAUUUCUUCACAGUGACUGCAUUUUUAUCCCAGGUGGACCUCUCCUAAGUCCGUCUAAUUCUCCCACUGACAGCAAUCCAGAGCAGAGCAGACCCCAGUUCUGGAACUUCCUACACCUUCCCUGAACCCUGACGAGUCCAGGUGGCUCCCCCGCUCCCCUUGCACCUCUGUCCGUCAUUCUUCAUAUGAAGUCCUUCGAAAGGAGGGAACUAGAGACCGAGAAUCCCCCUCUGCCAGCUGCCUGACCACUGACGCACAGCCUAUAAUUUAUCAUAAAAGGUUACCAGGCUUCGCUGUCCCCUUGUAGUAUUAAUCAGAUUGUUUUGGCAGUUUGGGUUUCACCACCUAUAAAUAUUCAUUACAUUUGGAUUGCUUUAUUAACAGUAACAUUUCCUUCUGUUUUUAGAGAAAAAUUUGUAUCAUCUUACCUACUUUCUAGUCCCGGUUGUGGCGUGAAGUUAGUUGAUGUCUUAUCAGAACUGUGGGUCAUAUUCUCAGUGGUAGGAUGUGUCUUAGUGGUUCCUAGACACCUGUGCAAAUUCAUAGCCUUGGGAGCGAGCAGAUGCUCCCAGCUCUAGGCAAAUAUCCCCUGCAGAGGGACUGCAGUUAUCUUUAUGAAAAUAAUUUUUUAAAAUUAGGAAAUAUUUUGAGCAUUCUAAGAAAAUAGGCAAUAAUAGACAUGUGCCUAUAUACCCACCAUCUUUAUAAAAUCUUAACAGUGUAGAUGAAGUGAAGGGCCCCUGUGUUCCUCUCUGUGACCCCAACCCCUCCCUGCAUUCCAGAGGUAGCCCCCCAUAUGCAUUUAUUGUCUAUCAUUUCUAUACAUAUUUUUAUACUUUUACAACAUUUUAUGUGUCAUAUAUGUGUGCUAAGUUGCUUCAGUCCUGUCUGACUCUUUGUGACCCCGUGGACUGUAGCCAGCCAGGCUCCUCUGUCCUUGGGAUUCUCCAGGCAAGAAUACUGGAGUGGGCUGCCAUGCCUUCCUCCAGGGGGUCUUCCUGACCCAGGGAUCAAACCUGUGUCUCAUGUCUCCUGCAAUGGCAGGCAGGUUCUUUACCACUAGCGUCACCUGGGAAGCCCAUUUAUAUAUCAGUAAAUGUUAUCUAUAUUAAUGGCUUGCAGAUUUUAAAAAAUAAAUGGUAUCAUACUAUAUAGAUCUUUAUUUUU